GAUGAAGAACGUAGCGAAAUGCGAUACGUAGUGUGAAUUGCAGAAUUCAGUGAAUCAUCGAAUCUUUGAACGCACAUUGCACCUCUCGGUAUUCCGGGAGGUAUGCCUGUUCGAGCGUCAUUUGUACCCUCAAGCUCUGCUUGGUGUUGGGUGUUUGUUCCGCCUCUGUGUGUGAACUCGCCUCAAAACAAUUGGCAGCCGGCGUACUUGUUUCGGAGCGCAGCACAUUUUGCGAUCCAGAUCAACGUACAGCGGCAUCCAAGAAGCCUUGUUUAACGCUCUUGACCUCGGAUCAGGUAGGGAUACCCGCUGAACUUAAGCAUAUCAAUAAGCGGAGGA
Molecule: unclassified non-coding RNA, 339 nt
Filed under: soil metagenome
Description: partial contains 5.8S ribosomal RNA, internal transcribed spacer 2, and large subunit ribosomal RNA
Rfam family: 5.8S ribosomal RNA (bases 1-120)
Source: RNAcentral